UACGAAGGGGGCUAGCGUUGUUCGGAAUUACUGGGCGUAAAGCGCACGUAGGCGGGCGAUUAAGUCAGGGGUGAAAUCCCGGAGCUCAACUCCGGAACUGCCUUUGAUACUGGUCGUCUAGAGAUCGGAAGAGGUGAGUGGAAUUCCCAGUGUAGAGGUGAAAUUCGUAGAUAUUGGGAAGAACACCAGUGGCGAAGGCGGCUCACUGGUCCGAUACUGACGCUGAGGUGCGAAAGCGUGGGGAGCAACAGGG
RNAcentral lists this ribosomal RNA (253 nucleotides) under uncultured bacterium. RNAcentral's name for it is "partial 16S ribosomal RNA". It matches the Rfam family "Bacterial small subunit ribosomal RNA", at positions 524 to 776 of the family's 1533-position model. The record is from RNAcentral.